CGCUGGCGGCAGGCCUAACACAUGCAAGUCGAACGUGAAGCUGGAGCUUGCUCCAGUGGAAAGUGGCAGACGGGUGAGUAACGCGUGGGAAUUUACCCAGUGGUACGGAAUAACUCAGGGAAACUUGUGCUAAUACCGUAUAAGCCCUUCCGGGGGAAAGAUUUAUCGCCAUUGGAUGAGCCCGCGUUAGAUUAGUUUGUUGGUGGGGUAAUGGCCUACCAAGACUACGAUCUAUAGCUGGUCUGAGAGGAUGAUCAGCCACACUGGGACUGAGACACGGCCCAGACUCCUACGGGAGGCAGCAGUGGGGAAUAUUGCACAAUGGGCGCAAGCCUGAUGCAGCCAUGCCGCGUGAGUGAAGAAGGCCUUAGGGUUGUAAAGCUCUUUCAACGGUGAAGAUAAUGACGGUAGCCGUAGAAGAAGCCCCGGCUAACUUCGUG
RNAcentral lists this ribosomal RNA (440 nucleotides) under uncultured bacterium. RNAcentral describes it as "bacterial SSU rRNA". It matches the Rfam family "Bacterial small subunit ribosomal RNA", at positions 34 to 507 of the family's 1533-position model. The record is from RNAcentral.